RNAcentral lists this ribosomal RNA (693 nucleotides) under uncultured marine archaeon. Its description in RNAcentral is "bacterial SSU rRNA". It matches the Rfam family "Archaeal small subunit ribosomal RNA", at positions 56 to 754 of the family's 1478-position model. The record is from RNAcentral.
AGUCGAGAGCUUUCGGAGCUCGGCAUACUGCUCAGUAACACGUGGGUAACCUGCCCUGUGCUGGGGGAUAACCUCGGGAAACUGAGAACAAUACCCCAUAGUCCACUACGCCUGGAACGGUGAGUGGAUGAAAGCCCCGGCGGCACAGGAUGGGCCUGCGGCGUAUCAGGUAGUAGGGGGUGUAAAGUACCCUCUAGCCUUCGACGCGUACGGGUUGUGAGAGCAAUAGCCCGGAGAUGGAUUCUGAGACACGAAUCCAGACCCUACGGGGUGCAGCAGGCGCGAAAACUUGGCAAUGCGAGAAAUCGUGACCAGGGAACUCCAAGUGGCUGGGGUAAGACCCAGUCUUUUCUUGACUCUUCAACGGUCUUGGAAUAAGGGGUGGGUAAGGACGGUGCCAGCCGCCGCGGUAAUACCGGCGCCUCAAGUGGUAGUCGAUUUUAUUGGGCCUAAAACGUCCGUAGCCUGUUUGGUACAUUCGUGGGUAAAUCAACCAGCUCAACUGGUUGAAUUCUGCGAGCACGGCCAGACUUGGGACCGGGAGAGGUGUGGGGUACGCUCAGGGUAGGGGUAAAAUCCUGUCAUCCUGAGCGGACCACCUGUUGCGAAGGCGCCACACUAGAACGGAUCCGACGGUCAGGGACGAAGCCUAGGGGCACGAACCGGAUUAGAUACCCGGGUAGUCCUAGGUGU